This 389-nucleotide unclassified non-coding RNA is filed under the name fungal sp. Its description in RNAcentral is "partial internal transcribed spacer region". The stretch from base 1 to 46 matches the Rfam family "Eukaryotic small subunit ribosomal RNA", at positions 1786 to 1831 of the family's 1831-position model. The record is from RNAcentral. Lineage: Eukaryota; Fungi.
AAGUCGUAACAAGGUAACCGUAGGUGAACCUGCGGUUGGAUCAUUACCAAAUCCAAACCGGUGCCUUGGGUUAGGAGUUGGGGGUUGGGUCGUGCGGGAGGUGGUUGUGUGCCCCUUUCCGGGGUGCGCAGCCCCUCCUUACGCCCGCUUCCUCUCUUCUCUCCCCUGGUGCCUUCCACCCCAUGUGCAAUGUUCUUUUGGAAAAGGGAUGUUGUGCGUGUGCUGCCGCGUCGUAGGACGUGUGCAGUGCGCACACACAGCCCUCCCUCCAUUCACAACCAUGUGCUCUCCAAUCACCUGACGUUUACCCUCGUGGACAGGCGCGCUUGCGUGCAGGCCCAUUAGAGCUUAACGAAAAACAACUUUUGACAACGGAUCUCUUGGCUCUC